RNAcentral lists this ribosomal RNA (336 nucleotides) under uncultured bacterium. Its description in RNAcentral is "bacterial SSU rRNA". It matches the Rfam family "Bacterial small subunit ribosomal RNA", at positions 28 to 342 of the family's 1533-position model. The record is from RNAcentral.
GACGAACGCUGGCGGCGUGCCUAACACAUGCAAGUCGAACGGAGCUUCUAUGGAAUUUGACUUCGGUCAAAUGAAGUUUAAGCUUAGUGGCGGACGGGUGAGUAACGCGUGAGCAACCUGCCUUACAGAGGGGGACAACAGUUGGAAACGACUGCUAAUACCGCAUAACGUAUUUUGAAGGCAUCUUCGAAAUACCAAAGGAGCAAUCCGCUGUAAGAUGGGCUCGCGUCCGAUUAGGUAGUUGGUGAGGUAACGGCGUCACCAAGCCGACGAUCGGUAGCCGGACUGAGAGGUUGAACGGCCACAUUGGGACUGAGACACGGCCCAGACUCCUAC